AUUGAACGCUGGCGGCAGGCCUAACACAUGCAAGUCGAGCGGAUGAAGGGAGCUUGCUCCCUGAUUUAGCGGCGGACGGGUGAGUAAUGCCUAGGAAUCUGCCUGGUAGUGGGGGAUAACGUUCCGAAAGGAACGCUAAUACCGCAUACGUCCUACGGGAGAAAGCAGGGGACCUUCGGGCCUUGCGCUAUCAGAUGAGCCUAGGUCGGAUUAGCUAGUUGGUGAGGUAAUGGCUCACCAAGGCGAUGAUCCGUAACUGGUCUGAGAGGAUGAUCAGUCACACUGGAACUGAGACACGGUCCAGACUCCUACGGGAGGCAGCAGUGGGGAAUAUUGGACAAUGGGCGAAAGCCUGAUUCAGCCAUGCCGCGUGUGUGAAGAAGGUCUUCGGAUUGUAAAGCACUUUAAGUUGGGAGGAAGGGCAGUAAGUUAAUACCUUGCUGUUUUGACGUUACCGACAGAAUAAGCACCGGCUAACUUCGUGCCAGCCGCCGCGGUAA
This 500-nucleotide ribosomal RNA is filed under the name uncultured bacterium. Its description in RNAcentral is "partial 16S ribosomal RNA". It matches the Rfam family "Bacterial small subunit ribosomal RNA", at positions 30 to 523 of the family's 1533-position model. The record is from RNAcentral.